RNAcentral lists this ribosomal RNA (54 nucleotides) under Gnetum cuspidatum. RNAcentral describes it as "partial 18S ribosomal RNA". It matches the Rfam family "Eukaryotic small subunit ribosomal RNA", at positions 1778 to 1831 of the family's 1831-position model. Lineage: Eukaryota; Viridiplantae; Streptophyta; Gnetopsida; Gnetales; Gnetaceae. The record is from RNAcentral.
GGAAGGAGAAGUCGUAACAAGGUUACCGUAGAUGAACCUACGGUAGGAUCAUUG